GACGAACGCUGGCGGCGUGCUUAACACAUGCAAGUCGAACGGAAAGGCCCUGCUUUUGUGGGGUGCUCGAGUGGCGAACGGGUGAGUAACACGUGAGUAACCUGCCCUUGACUUUGGGAUAACUUCAGGAAACUGGGGCUAAUACCGGAUAGGAGCUCCUGCUGCAUGGUGGGGGUUGGAAAGCUUCGGCGGUUGGGGAUGGACUCGCGGCUUACCAGCUUGUUGGUGGGGUAGUGGCUUACCAAGGCUUUGACGGGUAGCCGGCCUGAGAGGGUGAACGGCCACAUUGGGACUGAGAUACGGCCCAGACUGCUACGGGAGGCAGCAGUGGGGAAUAUUGCACAAUGGGCGGAAGCCUGAUGCAGAAACGCCGCGUGCGGGAUGACGGCCUUCGGGUUGUAAACCGCUUUCGCCUGUGACGAAGCGUGAGUGACGGUAAUGGGUAAAGAAGCACCGGCUAACUACGUG
This 468-nucleotide ribosomal RNA is filed under the name uncultured bacterium. Its description in RNAcentral is "partial 16S ribosomal RNA". It matches the Rfam family "Bacterial small subunit ribosomal RNA", at positions 28 to 507 of the family's 1533-position model. The record is from RNAcentral.